This 69-nucleotide transfer RNA is filed under the name Semnornis frantzii. RNAcentral describes it as "tRNA-Phe". Lineage: Eukaryota; Metazoa; Chordata; Aves; Piciformes; Ramphastidae. The record is from RNAcentral.
GUUCCCGUAGCUUACACCCCAAAGCAUGACACUGAAGAUGUCAAGACGGCUGCCAUGCACCCGAGAACA